This 984-nucleotide ribosomal RNA is filed under the name Psychrobacter pulmonis. RNAcentral's name for it is "bacterial SSU rRNA". It matches the Rfam family "Bacterial small subunit ribosomal RNA", at positions 51 to 1043 of the family's 1533-position model. The record is from RNAcentral. Lineage: Bacteria; Pseudomonadati; Pseudomonadota; Gammaproteobacteria; Moraxellales; Moraxellaceae.
AGGCUGCAGUCGAGCGGUAACAGGAGAAGCUUGCUUCUCGCUGACGAGCGGCGGACGGGUGAGUAAUACUUAGGAAUCUACCUAGUAGUGGGGGAUAGCUCGGGGAAACUCGAAUUAAUACCGCAUACGACCUACGGGAGAAAGGGGGCAACUUGUUGCUCUCGCUAUUAGAUGAGCCUAAGUCGGAUUAGCUAGAUGGUGGGGUAAAGGCCUACCAUGGCGACGAUCUGUAGCUGGUCUGAGAGGAUGAUCAGCCACACCGGGACUGAGACACGGCCCGGACUCCUACGGGAGGCAGCAGUGGGGAAUAUUGGACAAUGGGGGCAACCCUGAUCCAGCCAUGCCGCGUGUGUGAAGAAGGCCUUUUGGUUGUAAAGCACUUUAAGCAGUGAAGAAGACUCUAUGGUUAAUACCCAUAGACGAUGACAUUAGCUGCAGAAUAAGCACCGGCUAACUCUGUGCCAGCAGCCGCGGUAAUACAGAGGGUGCAAGCGUUAAUCGGAAUUACUGGGCGUAAAGCGAGCGUAGGUGGCUUGAUAAGUCAGAUGUGAAAGCCCCGGGCUUAACCUGGGAACGGCAUCUGAUACUGUUAGGCUAGAGUAGGUGAGAGGAAGGUAGAAUUCCAGGUGUAGCGGUGAAAUGCGUAGAGAUCUGGAGGAAUACCGAUGGCGAAGGCAGCCUUCUGGCAUCAUACUGACACUGAGUUCGAAAGCGUGGGUAGCAAACAGGAUUAGAUACCCUGGUAGUCCACGCCGUAAACGAUGUCUACUAGUCGUUGGGUCCCUUGAGACUUAUGACGCAGCUAACGCAAUAAGUAGACCGCCUGGGGAUACGCCAAGGUUAAAACUCAAUGAAUUGACGGGGGCCCGCACAAGCGGUGGAGCAUGGGUUUAAUUCGAUGCACGCGAUACCUGGUCUGACUCUAUCUGCAAUGAUGCUCGGAUACGGCUGCAUGUGCGUCAGCUCGUCGUUGGUUCCACGCCA